RNAcentral lists this ribosomal RNA (253 nucleotides) under uncultured prokaryote. RNAcentral describes it as "partial 16S ribosomal RNA". It matches the Rfam family "Bacterial small subunit ribosomal RNA", at positions 524 to 776 of the family's 1533-position model. The record is from RNAcentral.
UACAGAGGGCGCGAGCGUUGUCCGGAAUCACUGGGCGUAAAGGGCGCGUAGGUGGCGGCGUAAGGCCGCGGUGAAAGUUCGGGGCUCAACCCUGAAUCGGCCGCGGCGACUGCGUCGCUUGGGCACGGUAGAGGCAGAUGGAAUUCCGGGUGUAGCGGUGAAAUGCGUAGAGAUCUGGAGGAAUACCGGUGGCGAAGGCGGCCCCCUGGACAAAGACUGACGCUCAGGUGCGAAAGCGUGGGGAGCAAACAGG